GUGGAAGCUGUCAGCAGUAGCACCAGCUGAAUCCUGAUUUUCUGGCUAUAAAGACUGAUCUGAGGAAUGAAGAUUAGCCCCUUCUUGAGUCAUAUUGGCCUGGCACUAAAAAUAGGAAUGGAGAGGAGAAACAAACGCUGAUUUUCUGGGUCAACUUUCUUGACUAUGCUCUGGACACUUCGUAUGUGUAUGGGAGCAGAUCUCUUCCUUUUUCUGCCCUAACUGCUGAGGUAAUGGCUGGGAGCUGCAGUGCUCUACCCAAGUCUCAGUUGGUCUUGUAUCCUGCUCCCACCCCCAACAUUCGUCCAUGUUCUGCUUUGCUCCAUCCUGCCAGCUCUUCUCAGGGACCAUAAGUGAGUAAAGGACCCUCCCACAUACCCAGAUGAUUGAUUUUAGUGGGGAAAGGAGAGGUAUAUUUCUUUUUUCUUUUUCUUAUUUUUAAAGAUUUUACUUAUUUAUUUGAGAGACAGAGAAAGAGAGUGAAUGAGGAGGAGAGGGAGAGAGAAUCUGAAGCAGACUACACACUGAGCACAGAGCCCAAUCUGGGGGCUUGAUCCCACAACCCCAAGAUCAUGACCUGAGCCAAAACCAAGAGUUGGAUGCCUAAUGGACUGAGCCACCCAGGUGCCCCAAGGAGGUAAAUUUCUCAAAAGGUACUUUUCUCUUCUAUGGUUGGCAGUCCUUUUCACUGAGUGCCCUUUUCCCACCUCUCUCCCACUCCUCCCCAACAAGACAGACUCUCCACUGUAUUCAAAACUGCCGUACUCCCUGUAUCUGUCAUCUAAGAAUUAACUUGUGUACUUCCAAUUUCUUUCCUGCAGAUGUCUUCUGGUCUCUCCUGCAAGUUGGCCAGUGGAACACCAUCCUGCUGGGUUCCCUAGAAAUCACUGUCAGACUCUGAGUAUCAAGUACCAAGCGCAGAGAUGGAGGGUCAGAAAACAUUAUAUAGCAAUCUUGAAGCAGCUUCAUAAAACGAGCAGAAAAAAAUGAAGAAACAAUAGCAUUACAACAACAGCCAAAUGUGCUUGGAAUCAGUCAGCAAUGGAGAAUUUUCUGGAGGAUAUGCUUAAAGAAGGGGGCGCCUGGGUGGCUCAGUGGUUAAGCGUCUGCCUUCGGCUCAGGGCGUGAUCCCAGA
This 1135-nucleotide long non-coding RNA is filed under the name Ursus maritimus (polar bear). Its description in RNAcentral is "lncRNA (ENSUMAG00000011887.1)". The record is from RNAcentral. Lineage: Eukaryota; Metazoa; Chordata; Mammalia; Carnivora; Ursidae.